This is a long non-coding RNA of Austrofundulus limnaeus, 201 nucleotides long. RefSeq lists it as uncharacterized. The record is from RefSeq and is a predicted model, not a curated record. NCBI's taxonomy places the organism in Eukaryota, Metazoa, Chordata, Actinopteri, Cyprinodontiformes, Rivulidae. The transcript is spliced from 3 exons.
UGCUGAACAGAAGCAGCAUUAAUCUGCUGUUGUUCUGCAGAGCGUCCGGCUCCAGUCACACGACUCUUAGCUGCACCGACAUGAAGACACAGAAACAGAUCCACACGACUCCUGUCGGGUCACAACUGCAGAACCUUAAUGAAAAAGACACCAUGAUGCAAAUCAACAAAUUUAAGUACCAUAUUCUAGGCUCAAUCUCAG